GGGGCUGUAGCUCAGCUGGAGAGCACCUGCUUUGCAAGCAGGGGUCAGCGGUUCGAUCCCGCUCAGCUCCACCA
This 74-nucleotide transfer RNA is filed under the name Rhizobium leguminosarum bv. trifolii. RNAcentral describes it as "tRNA-Ala". It matches the Rfam family "tRNA". From Rfam's summary of the family: Transfer RNA (tRNA) molecules are approximately 80 nucleotides in length. Their secondary structure includes four short double-helical elements and three loops (D, anti-codon, and T loops). Lineage: Bacteria; Pseudomonadati; Pseudomonadota; Alphaproteobacteria; Hyphomicrobiales; Rhizobiaceae. The record is from RNAcentral.